GCUCUGCCCAGUAGAGUCGCUAACCGUUGCCCUUUAUCUGUGCUCCAUCCUUUGUGGCAUUGAAGUGUGACACUGUCUAUCAGCUCCUCUCCUCCUGGGUCCAGCUAGCAUUAGCUCUUCAGUGAGGUUGGCUGGUUCAGUUGACAGCAAGAAGAUAAAAGUAUUAGUGGUGCUGUGAGUGAGGAAGAAACUGAGAUAAACAAAGACAUUAGCCUGCCACUUUUAGUGGAAGGUAGCCGUUAAAGGAGAGAAUCUUGUUGUACAUUAAUUGGAGAAGAUGAAGGUAACUGUUUUGAUAUUAAGAGUAUUUGACUAAAAUGGGUUACCUGGACCUCAUCUACCGUGACCCUCUUUCAUGGGAUGAUUCUUUCAAAUAGAAGACUCUGAAUUAGCUUCCAGACUUUUUCUAUUUUCUCACCCACGUGUGUUGUUCAGGUGCAUUUUCAAGAUUUAAUCAGUGAAGGUAGUUAACCUUCUCUUCAUGCUUCUUCCUCUACUAGUGAACAUUUAGUUUCAAUGGGGACUUGCUUACAUCUAGC
RNAcentral lists this long non-coding RNA (539 nucleotides) under Phascolarctos cinereus (koala). RNAcentral's name for it is "lncRNA (ENSPCIG00000035293.1)". Lineage: Eukaryota; Metazoa; Chordata; Mammalia; Diprotodontia; Phascolarctidae. The record is from RNAcentral.